UUUCUUGAUUGGGAACUUGUAUGAAGGGUAGAAACUUAAGGGGUUGUUUUAUUUAAUUAUUUUGAAUUUAAAUUAAAGGUCAAAAUGCCUUUGUAAAACCUUGGGACGAGAAGACCCUAGAAGCUUAAAAUUUAAAGGGACACUUUUUUUAUUGGGGCAAUAAUUGAAGAUCCUAAUCUUUAAUGGAGAAAAAUAUUAAACUGAAAAGUUACUCUAGGGAUAACAGCGUUAUUUAGUUGGUGAGUUCUUAUUAAUAAUUAAGUUUGCGACCUCGAUGUUGAAUUAAAUUAUAUUUUUGGUGAAGAAGCUAUAAAAUUUAGUCUGUUCGACUAUUGAAAGUUUACAUGAUUUGAGUUCAAACCGGUGAAAGCCAGGUCGGUUCUUAUC
This 387-nucleotide ribosomal RNA is filed under the name Heteropachylus ramphonotus. RNAcentral's name for it is "partial large subunit ribosomal RNA". The stretch from base 72 to 387 matches the Rfam family "Bacterial large subunit ribosomal RNA", at positions 2046 to 2642 of the family's 2925-position model. The record is from RNAcentral. Lineage: Eukaryota; Metazoa; Arthropoda; Arachnida; Opiliones; Gonyleptidae.